RNAcentral lists this ribosomal RNA (393 nucleotides) under uncultured bacterium. Its description in RNAcentral is "partial 16S ribosomal RNA". It matches the Rfam family "Bacterial small subunit ribosomal RNA", at positions 523 to 918 of the family's 1533-position model. The record is from RNAcentral.
AUACGGAAGGUUCGGGCGUUAUCCGGAUUUAUUGGGUUUAAAGGGAGCGCAGGCCGGCUUUUAAGCGUGACGUGAAAUGUAGAUGCUCAACAUCUGAACUGCGUCGCGAACUGGAGGCCUUGAGUGCAUUCGACGCCAGCGGAAUUCGUGGUGUAGCGGUGAAAUGCUUAGAUAUCACGAAGAACUCCGAUUGCGAAGGCAGCUGGCGAGACUGUAACUGACGCUAAAGCUCGAAAGUGCGGGUAUCGAACAGGAUUAGAUACCCUGGUAGUCCGCACGGUAAACGAUGGAUGCCCGCUGUUUGCGAUAUAAUGUAAGCGGCCAAGCGAAAGCGUUAAGCAUCCCACCUGGGGAGUACGCCGGCAACGGUGAAACUCAAAGGAAUUGACGGGG